CUGGUUGAAUAUAUCAUUACGAACUCAUCAAAACACAUUUGUAAAGGAUUCGAUGAUAUAAUAGUUAGUUGAAAGAGUUAAAUUAGAGUUUGGUACUCAAAACUUAUGAGCUAGUCCUCUAGUCAGCUAUAUAUAGCUGCUGUAAACAAAUUGUAAAGUUAGUAUACAAAACCUUCAUUUCUUGGUUUUAGAAUUGUCCAUCUCUGCUACUUCUCCAAUGUAGGUAAUAUGGUAUCAAAGCCACUACAUGAUUCUGGUGGUUCAGUUUUUAUUAGAUUUCAUUGUUUUCUAGUUUUAUUUCUCUUCUGUUAAGUUCUUAGGUGCUUCUGUAAUCGUUCUGUAAUUACUGGGUAUGGAUUGUACGUAAAGAUUGUUGGUGAUAUAUGUGUCUUUGAAAUUGUGGUAUAAUCUGAAUGCGGUUGUCUAGUGGGUUCUGUUAAUUUCUUCAGUGCUUCCGCAAUCAUUAAAUAGAAGUGGGAAUUUUCGGUUCUUGAAUAUUUCGGUUCUUGAAUUCGGAAUUUUUCAGAUUUUCAUCGAGUUCUUCACCUCCUGACACUAGGAAAGAAAAUGGGUUUUCAAGCAAAUUCUUGGAUCCAGUGGAAUGCCUUCAUCUUGGAGGGGCUCGUGAUGGUGGUCUACGAUUUGGGUUUUGCUCAGGAAACAGGUUUUGCUCCGGACAUGGUGCGGUGUUGGGAAUAACAUCCGGUUUUCAAUUUAUGAUUUGUUUUCUGGUGUGGAAAAAAGUUUAGAACUUUAUGCAGUCCAACUGUUUGACGAAAUGCUCAGCUCAAGAUUUUUUGUGAAGGUUAUGUUUUCAUCAAAACAGUUGUAAAGGAUUAAAAUUCUGUUACUGGUCCAAGGUUGUGUCUUGUGUUGCUGAUUCAUGAAGGAUGAGAUUUGGCAUACCACAUGUUUGACUAAUUUCCCCAAACAAGAUAGUUCUCUGUUCUCUCUGGGUUCUACAUCUUUGAGGUUUGGUUGCUUAUUUUCUCUCUUGUUUUUCACUUCAUUGAAAUGGGUUUUUCUUGGCAAAUUGGUGACAUAUUUCUUGCUUAUGUCAUUUAGAGUUUGGCACAAAGUUGUUCUGUUUAAAGUUGGACAUGCACCAUUUUCAAACUAGUCGUGGAAUCAGAAAGAGUACAGUAAGGUCACGAAGCCAUUUUUGUGAUUAGGAGUUUUGGUAUAUAGUAUUGUUCUUCUUGAUCUUCAAUUUCUUGGGCAGGUGGUCGUUUUUCUGAUUAAUGUUGGAAAAUAGUUGAAAUUGGGACUAAGGCAUGAUGCCGAAUAGUUAAGUAGCAUUAAUUUACAUGGAAAAAUAGCUUUGACAUGGAAUGAACAGCAAUUACAGUUAAAGAAUGGAAUGCAUUGGCCUGCAGUGUUGUAAUCGUCAGGUCUCUAACUAAUAGCUUGUCCCCCAUUACAGUUAAAGUGGAUGUUGCAAAGUCUCAUUAGCAAUGUCAACCCUCAUUCUUGGCAAUUCUCUCUGCAUAUGGUGUUCCAGAUAUCAUUCUUUCUGGUUUCUGAUCAUGGUCAAACAAUAACUCGUUGGUUCAGACGCUUUCACUUUGUUGAGGAUCAAGUUAGUUCACUUUCUUCAUAUUGUGUUCCAGAGUUCCUUACCACAGCCUAUAAUAUCAAGUCUAACAAGCUUAGUUGCCGCAUGUAUCUACUGUAAGUCCGGUUUUAUGUUUCUUACAAAGAUUUAAGUUUGUAGAAGUUGUUGACGAUAAAUCCCACGAAGGGUGAUUCCGUGUUGUGAAUAGGUAAAAAUCCGCAAAGGCAUAUGGUUUCAGUCAAUAGCCUUCUUGCUUCUA
Malus domestica (apple) is the source of this 1814-nucleotide long non-coding RNA. RefSeq lists it as uncharacterized. NCBI's taxonomy places the organism in Eukaryota, Viridiplantae, Streptophyta, Magnoliopsida, Rosales, Rosaceae. The record is from RefSeq and is a predicted model, not a curated record.